RNAcentral lists this ribosomal RNA (452 nucleotides) under Escherichia coli. RNAcentral describes it as "bacterial SSU rRNA". It matches the Rfam family "Bacterial small subunit ribosomal RNA", at positions 9 to 457 of the family's 1533-position model. The record is from RNAcentral. Lineage: Bacteria; Pseudomonadati; Pseudomonadota; Gammaproteobacteria; Enterobacterales; Enterobacteriaceae.
GAGUUUGAUCAUGGCUCAGAUUGAACGCUGGCGGCAGGCCUAACACAUGCAAGUCGAACGGUAACAGGAAGAAGCUUGCUUCUUUGCUGACGAGUGGCGGACGGGGGAGUAAUGUCUGGGAAACUGCCUGAUGGAGGGGGAUAACUACUGGAAACGGUAGCUAAUACCGCAUAACGUCGCAAGACCAAAGAGGGGGACCUUCGGGCCUCUUGCCAUCGGAUGUGCCCAGAUGGGAUUAGCUUGUUGGUGGGGUAACGGCUCACCAAGGCGACGAUCCCUAGCUGGUCUGAGAGGAUGACCAGCCACACUGGAACUGAGACACGGUCCAGACUCCUACGGGAGGCAGCAGUGGGGAAUAUUGCACAAUGGGCGCAAGCCUGAUGCAGCCAUGCCGCGUGUAUGAAGAAGGCCUUCGGGUUGUAAAGUACUUUCAGCGGGGAGGAAGGGAGUAA